RNAcentral lists this ribosomal RNA (198 nucleotides) under uncultured bacterium. RNAcentral's name for it is "partial 16S ribosomal RNA". It matches the Rfam family "Bacterial small subunit ribosomal RNA", at positions 328 to 539 of the family's 1533-position model. The record is from RNAcentral.
ACGCUCGACACCUACGGGGGGCAGCAGUGGGGAAUAUUGCAUAAUGGGGGAAACCCUGAUGCAGCGACGCCGCGUGAGCGAAGAAGUAUUUCGGUAUGUAAAGCUCUAUCAGCAGGGAAGAAACUGACGGUACCUGACUAAGAAGCACCGGCUAAAUACGUGCCAGCAGCCGCGGUAAUCUGAGCGGGCUGGCAAGGC